UCAUGUGGUGUAUUUGCUCAUAUCUUAGUAGGAAUUAUUUAUUCCACAUAUAAAAAUUUAUGUUUUUAAAUUAAGUUCUGACAGAGAUAAAGGUCUAAAUUUCAUCCAGGUAAGAUUAAAGAUUAACCCUUAUCACAGCUGACCCUUUCAGUAUGGCUCUUAAAGGGAUACUCCACCCCAAAAUGAUUUUUUUUUUUUUUUGUUAUUAAUCACUUUACCCCCAUGUCGUUCCAAACCCGUAAAAGCUCUGUUCGUCUUCGGAACACAAUUUAAGAUAUUUUGGAUGAAAACCUGGAGGCUUGAGACUGUCCCAUUCAUAUAACCAAGAUUGCACAUCUGAUGGCAGAUGGAGUAUUCUGACAACGACUUUCAUACCUUUUAUGGACCUUGACACUGUUAUUUACUUGGCAGUCUAUGGGACAGACUCAAGCCUCCAGGUUUUCAUCCAAAAUAUCUUAAAUUGUGUUUCGAAGAUGAGCUUUUAUGGGUUUGGAACGACAUGGGGGUAAGUGAUUAAUGACAAAAUUUUCAUUUUGGGGUGGAGUAUCCCUUUAACCUCAGGUUGCUGCAGAUGGGGGUGUCCCUUACAUUUUUGUAGGUUUACUCACCUUGAUUUUUUUUUUUCAGACAAAAUAACCAAAAGGAAGCAGAACCUUAGAGGAGUUUAGUUGCCCUUGUCAGGACAGACCAUAUUUGGGCACAUUCCGGGGAUGACAUCAAGAAGCGCAGGCAUGAAUGAACUUGCCCGCAGGAUGAAUGACCUCUGUGCACAUGCAGAAUGAUGGAUCAGGUAUGCAGGUUAGAUGAGGAAACGUAUUUCCACAGCCUUUCCGGUCGAGUCAUGUCACAUAUAGCAACAUCUGAACCAAACAAUGCUUCUGUCUGCAGGCCAAUCCCCAACAGAGGGCGGAGAACAGACUGUUUGCUGAGGGCACUGGAGAUUCAAUGAGGCCUGAAACUUGAAGGAUGGAAAGAAUUUGCAGUGAGACGUCGCCCCUAGAGAGCCUCUGUGUGUGUUGAGAGAAUAAAACAAUCAAACUAUCAACA
This is a long non-coding RNA of Cyprinus carpio (common carp), 1047 nucleotides long. NCBI's taxonomy places the organism in Eukaryota, Metazoa, Chordata, Actinopteri, Cypriniformes, Cyprinidae. The record is from Ensembl.